RNAcentral lists this ribosomal RNA (301 nucleotides) under uncultured bacterium. RNAcentral describes it as "partial 16S ribosomal RNA". It matches the Rfam family "Bacterial small subunit ribosomal RNA", at positions 509 to 807 of the family's 1533-position model. The record is from RNAcentral.
CAGUCGCCGCGGGAAUACGAAGGGGGCUAGCGUUGUUCGGAUUUACUGGGCGUAAAGCGCACGUAGGCGGACUUUUAAGUCAGGGGUGAAAUCCCGGGGCUCAACCCCGGAACUGCCUUUGAUACUGGGAGUCUUGAGUUCGAGAGAGGUGAGUGGAAUUGCGAGUGUAGAGGUGAAAUUCGUAGAUAUUCGCAGGAACACCAGUGGCGAAGGCGGCUCACUGGCUCGAUACUGACGCUGAGGUGCGAAAGCGUGGGGAGCAAACAGGAUUAGAUACCCCUGUAGUCCCUGUCUCUUAUAC